CCUGCAUGAUGAUAAGCAAAUAACUGACUUGAUGUGAAGGUCUGAAUUAGCUCUAACUGAUAGC
Molecule: small nucleolar RNA, 64 nt
Filed under: Castor canadensis (American beaver)
Lineage: Eukaryota; Metazoa; Chordata; Mammalia; Rodentia; Castoridae
Description: Small nucleolar RNA SNORD44 (ENSCCNG00000020054.1)
Rfam family: Small nucleolar RNA SNORD44
About the family: U44 belongs to the C/D class of snoRNA which contain the C (UGAUGA) and D (CUGA) box motifs.
Source: Rfam by way of RNAcentral